UCCCACAGUCUAGCCCAUCUGGCAGCUUUGUGAUACCGGACAUAACCCACAAAAGCUUGAGCUGUUUCAUUUUCUGAAUAAAUGAGUUCUCAGUCACUGUGAUCAAAGUUCAGUGUUCUUCAUCUGAGGUCUCCAAUCCCCUCUGCCUGGAGCCUGGCCACCAGCCCAGCCAGGGUGCUCCUUGUUCCAGUGAAAAUCUGCAAUCUCACAUAGAUCUCACAAUACUUGUACAGCAGGUGGUGUCCAUAUUCACUCCUCAUAAUCUUCUUGUGCAGUCCUGAUUUACCUCUAUGCGUGACUCAAGGUCCGAGAUGCCCAGGGCAGCCCUGAUGUAUGUGUUCCCAUGCAGCAGCUGUGUCUCAUCACAAAGCUCACUGAAAGAUGCUCCACUUGCUCACUGCCCAAACAGGUAACUCUGGCUCUGGAUUUCUUCUUCCCAAAUGUUGCAGCUGCAUCAAUAUCACUCUUUUAUUUUAGAUCCUUCAUAAAUCUCACAUGUUAUAUUGACAAAAAAAGGAUCCUCUAGGGUCUUCUCAUCUCUCUGAUGUACACAAGCCAAGGAACUGUGCAUUUCACCACCUCUGUGAUGCAGUUGUUGCAGUGCUGGUGCAGGAGGAGGAGCUCAAUUGCUGCUCUUUUUGCAACAAAGGAAUCAGAUGUUGCAGAGAAGAAGCAGCCUCCUGUCGGCAUGGUUACCUCAUUCUACACUCUUCUGGAAAGAAAAUGAACUGUUAAGACUUUUCCAAAUGCAGCCCUGG
This 758-nucleotide long non-coding RNA is filed under the name Gallus gallus (chicken). Its description in RNAcentral is "lncRNA (ENSGALG00010002906.1)". The record is from RNAcentral. Lineage: Eukaryota; Metazoa; Chordata; Aves; Galliformes; Phasianidae.